CUACGGGCUGCAGCAGUGGGGAAUAUUGCACAAUGGGCGCAAGCCUGAUGCAGCCAUGCCGCGUGUAUGAAGAAGGCCUUCGGGUUGUAAAGUACUUUCAGCGGGGAGGAAGGGAGUAAAGUUAAUACCUUUGCUCAUUGACGUUACCCGCAGAAGAAGCACCGGCUAACUCCGUGCCAGCAGCCGCGGUAAUACGGAGAGUGCAAGCGUUAAUCGGAAUUACUGGGCGUAAAGCGCACGCAGGCGGUUUGUUAAGUCAGAUGUGAAAUCCCCGGGCUCAACCUGGGAACUGCAUCUGAGACUGGCAAGCUUGAGUCUCGUAGAGGGGGGUAGAAUUCCAGGUGUAGCGGUGAAAUGCGUAGAGAUCUGGAGGAAUACCGGUGGCGAAGGCGGCCCCCUGGACGAAGACUGACGCUCAGGUGCGAAAGCGUGGGGAGCAAACAGGAUUAGAUACCCUCGUAGUC
Molecule: ribosomal RNA, 464 nt
Filed under: uncultured bacterium
Lineage: Bacteria
Description: partial 16S ribosomal RNA
Rfam family: Bacterial small subunit ribosomal RNA
Source: RNAcentral